CAAAAAAUAAUUUAAUUAAAAUAUUAGUUUUGGAGACUAAAUUUAUAAACUUAUGUUUAUUUUUUUGA
RNAcentral lists this transfer RNA (68 nucleotides) under Dolichoris vasculosae. RNAcentral describes it as "tRNA-Pro". The record is from RNAcentral. Lineage: Eukaryota; Metazoa; Arthropoda; Insecta; Hymenoptera; Agaonidae.